ACGCUCGACACCUACGGGAGCAGCAGUGGGGAAUAUUGCACAAUGGGGGAAACCCUGAUGCAGCGACGCCGCGUGAAGGAUGAAGUAUUUCGGUAUGUAAACUUCUAUCAGCAGGGAGGAAAAUGACGGUACCUGACUAAGAAGCCCCGGCUAACUACGUGCCAACAGCCGCGGUAAUCUGAGCGGGCUGGCAAGGC
This 197-nucleotide ribosomal RNA is filed under the name uncultured bacterium. RNAcentral describes it as "partial 16S ribosomal RNA". It matches the Rfam family "Bacterial small subunit ribosomal RNA", at positions 328 to 539 of the family's 1533-position model. The record is from RNAcentral.